RNAcentral lists this transfer RNA (63 nucleotides) under Trichonephila inaurata madagascariensis. Its description in RNAcentral is "tRNA-Arg". It matches the Rfam family "tRNA", at positions 7 to 64 of the family's 71-position model. From Rfam's summary of the family: Transfer RNA (tRNA) molecules are approximately 80 nucleotides in length. Their secondary structure includes four short double-helical elements and three loops (D, anti-codon, and T loops). Further hydrogen bonds mediate the characteristic L-shaped molecular structure. tRNAs have two regions of fundamental functional importance: the anti-codon, which is responsible for specific mRNA codon recognition, and the 3' end, to which the tRNAs corresponding amino acid is attached (by aminoacyl-tRNA synthetases). tRNAs cope with the degeneracy of the genetic code in two manners: having more than one tRNA (with a specific anti-codon) for a particular amino acid; and 'wobble' base-pairing, i.e. permitting non-standard base-pairing at the 3rd anti-codon position. The record is from RNAcentral. Lineage: Eukaryota; Metazoa; Arthropoda; Arachnida; Araneae; Nephilidae.
GUAGCGCAAUGAAUAGUGCGUUGGACUUCUCAUCCAUAGGUUGUGGGUUCGAAUCCCACCUCA